RNAcentral lists this ribosomal RNA (107 nucleotides) under Heterocephalus glaber (naked mole-rat). The record is from RNAcentral. Lineage: Eukaryota; Metazoa; Chordata; Mammalia; Rodentia; Bathyergidae.
GUCUACAGCCACACCACCCUAAAUGCACCCAAUCUCGUCUGAUCUCUCAAGCUAAGCAGGGUUGGGCCUGGUUAGUACUUGGAUGGGGGAGAAGGUCCUGGGGCACC